RNAcentral lists this microRNA (23 nucleotides) under Bombyx mori (domestic silkworm). RNAcentral describes it as "bmo-miR-9b-5p". Its record names the gene bmo-miR-9b-5p. RNAcentral also lists the same sequence under 1 other name. Lineage: Eukaryota; Metazoa; Arthropoda; Insecta; Lepidoptera; Bombycidae. The record is from miRBase by way of RNAcentral.
GCUUUGGUAAUCUAGCUUUAUGA